This is a long non-coding RNA of Oncorhynchus tshawytscha (Chinook salmon), 1026 nucleotides long. Lineage: Eukaryota; Metazoa; Chordata; Actinopteri; Salmoniformes; Salmonidae. The record is from Ensembl.
AGAGUAGAGGAUGGUAGAGUAGAGGAGAAGAUGGUAGAGUAGAGGAGAGGAUGGUAGAGUAGAGGAUGGUAGAGUAGAGGAGAGGAUGGUAGAGUAGAGGAUGGUAGAGGUGAGGAGAGGAUGGUAGAGUAGAGGAGAGGAUGGUAGAGUUCAGUAGAGGAUGGUAGAGUAGAGUAGAGGAUGGUAGAGUAGAGGAUGGUAGAGGAGAGGAGAGGAUGGUAGAGUAGAGGAUGGUAGAGUAGAGAAGAGGAUGGCAAAGGAGAGGAGAGGAUGGUAGAGUAGAGGAUGGUAGAGUAGAGAAGAGGAUGGCAAAGGAGAGGAGAGGAUGGUAGAGUAGAGGAGAGGAUGGUAGAGUAGAGGAGAGUAUGGUAGAGUAGAGUAGAGGAUGGUAGAGUAGAGAAGAGGAUGGUAGAGUAGAGUACGGUAGAGUAGAGGAGAGGAUGGUAGAGUAGAGGAGAGGAUGGUAGAGGAGAGGAUGGUAGAGUAGAGUACGGUAGAGUAGAGGAGAGGAUGGUAGAGUAGAGGAGAGGAUGGUUGAGUAGAGGAUGGUUGAGUAGAGGAUGGUUGAGUAGAGGAUGGUAGAGGAGAGUAGAGGAUGGUAGAGUAGAGUAGAGGAUGGUAGAGUAGAGGAGAAGAUGGUAGAGUAGAGGAGAGGAUGGUAGAGUAGAGUAGAGAAGGGCAGUAUCCUAAAGAACUCAAGAGAAGAGGACAGAGCUGUGCUUUUUAAAGUGAAGUAUUGAAAUAGAAAACUAUAUAAUCAUAUUGUUAUGAAAAUGCAUUAUGUGAAAUUAAUCAAACACUCUGCAUACGGUGGAAUAUCCUGUUGCUUUUUAAGCUACUAGAUGUGUAACAUCAUAAUAGGUCAUCUUUCCUCAGGAGAAACCAAAACGUUCCUGAAAGUAAUGAGAGGUAGAUUUGAGAUGACUACAGGUAAAAGAAACCAAAACGUUCCUGAAAGUAAUGAGAGGUAGAUUUGAGAUGACUACAGGUAAAAGAAACCAAAACGUUCCUGAAAGUAAUGAGAGG